RNAcentral lists this ribosomal RNA (253 nucleotides) under uncultured bacterium. RNAcentral describes it as "partial 16S ribosomal RNA". It matches the Rfam family "Bacterial small subunit ribosomal RNA", at positions 524 to 776 of the family's 1533-position model. The record is from RNAcentral.
UACAGAGGUGGCAAGCGUUGUUCGGAAUUACUGGGCGUAAAGGGCGUGUAGGCGGCCAUCUAAGUCAGACGUGAAAUCCCCCGGCUUAACCUGGGAACUGCGUCUGAUACUGGACGGCUUGAGUAUGGGAGAGGGAUGUAGAAUUCCAGGUGUAGCGGUGGAAUGCGUAGAUAUCUGGAGGAAUACCGGUGGCGAAGGCGGCAUCCUGGACCAUUACUGACGCUGAGGCGCGAAAGCUAGGGGAGCGAACGGG